Molecule: ribosomal RNA, 253 nt
Filed under: uncultured bacterium
Lineage: Bacteria
Description: partial 16S ribosomal RNA
Rfam family: Bacterial small subunit ribosomal RNA
Source: RNAcentral
UACGUAGGGUGCAAGCGUUGUCCGGAAUUAUUGGGCGUAAAGAGCUCGUAGGCGGUUUGUCGCGUCUGCUGUGAAAACCCGAGGCUCAACCUCGGGCCUGCAGUGGGUACGGGCAGACUAGAGUUCGGUAGGGGAGAUCGGAAUUCCUGGUGUAGCGGUGAAAUGCGCAGAUAUCAGGAGGAACACCGGUGGCGAAGGCGGAUCUCUGGGCCGAUACUGACGCUGAGGAGCGAAAGCGUGGGGAGCGAACAGG